GACGAACGCUGGCGGCGUGCUUAACACAUGCAAGUCGAGCGGUAAGGCCCUUUCGGGGGUACACGAGCGGCGAACGGGUGAGUAACACGUGGGUGGCCUGCCCUCAGCUCUGGGAUAAGCCUGGGAAACCGGGUCUAAUACUGGAUAUGACUCCAUGACGCAUGUUGUGGGGUGGAAAGCCUUGUGCGGCUGAGGAUGGGCCCGCGGCCUAUCAGCUUGUUGGUGGGGUGAUGGCCUACCAAGGCGACGACGGGUAGCCGGCCUGAGAGGGCGACCGGCCACACUGGGACUGAGACACGGCCCAGACUCCUACGGGAGGCAGCAGUGGGGAAUCUUGCGCAAUGGGCGAAAGCCUGACGCAGCGACGCCGCGUGAGGGAUGACGGCCU
Molecule: ribosomal RNA, 388 nt
Filed under: uncultured bacterium
Lineage: Bacteria
Description: bacterial SSU rRNA
Rfam family: Bacterial small subunit ribosomal RNA
Source: RNAcentral